This 2704-nucleotide long non-coding RNA is filed under the name Pogona vitticeps (central bearded dragon). RNAcentral describes it as "lncRNA (ENSPVIG00000013361.1)". The record is from RNAcentral. Lineage: Eukaryota; Metazoa; Chordata; Lepidosauria; Squamata; Agamidae.
AUGAAUAAUUGGCCCGCUGUCUCAGGCAAAAAAUUUAAAAUUAGGUUUUCUACAUCACAAAAAGUAUUGGUAUGCUCUGAAAAGAGUUUGGUCAUAGGUCACCAAUGUCAUGCAAUAGCCGUAUUCAGAUGUAACGUACCCAGUUGUAUUCAACAGAGGACCACCUAUGACCAUUGCUUUCUUCACACUGAAGAAGGUAGUUUUCUUGUUCACUUGGAGGUGUUCCAUGCAAACAAGAAUAAGGAACAUUCCAGAAUUUCUCCUCAGUGGACAUGUUGGUUUUGGUGUAAGAAAAGUAACAAGUUAAGUAAUUCAGUCUUUCCAUGUGGCUUCAGCCCUCUGAUAAGGAGAUUUUUUCCCCACAAAGAUUUAAAGAGUUCUGAAUAGUAAUUAGCAAAUAUACUUUACUAUCAGUUUGUGCAGAAAUUAUAGGGGCAAAUGUCCCUGAGCUUUAGCUUUGCAGAACGGGAGGUGAAGUGUUCAUCUGUGACAGGAAAAAUACUGAAAAAUCUUAUGGCACCAUAUUAAAGAAACAUUAUGACAUAAUCCUUCCUACCCCACUGUGUCAUGAAAAAUCCUAUGGCACCAUAUAUAUUAAAGAAACAUUAUGACAUAAUCCUCCCUACCCCAAUCCACUGUGUCAGAUGCAAAUUAAGCAUUUAACAUUUGUUUGUGUAUAGAUUUUUGUAUCAUUGAAUAGUUUUAAGAAGUACUUUUUAAAAGAGAUCAGUUUGGGGUUUUUAAAAAAGUAUUUUUAAAAAUACUUUUAAAAGAAAUCAUUUUUUUAAGUGAAACUAAUUUAGCUGUAGAGGCUUGAAAUUCUGACAUGAGUGUACAGUAAAUAGUUGUGCUAAAGGAAGGACUGGUGUAGUCUUUUGGGAUAUAGUUUGCAUACUCAGUAAAGGGUGAGGGUAGUUACAGGAUGUGUGUGUAUCCCCGCCCCAACCUAUAUAUGUGUUGUCCAGCCCUAUAAAAUAUGGUUCUUGCUUGUUUUGGUGGCAGUUAUUUGGUAUAAGACAAAGAGACAAGAACGGGUUCUGGGUCCCAUGUUAUUCAACAUUUUCAUCAAUGUCUUGGAUGAAGGAAUAGAGAGUAUGUUGAUUAAAUUUGCAGGGGUUGCUAAUUCCCCCGAGGACAGGAUUAAAAUUCAAAAUGACCUUGAUAGAUUAGAGUCCUGGGCCAAAACUAACAAAAUGAAUUUCAACAGGGAGAAAUGUAAGGUCUUACAGCUAGGCAGAAAAAAUGAACUGCACAGAUACAGGAUGGAGGACACCUGGCUAGACAACAGUACCUGUCAAAGGGAUCUAGAAGUCUUGGUAGACCAGAAGCUGAACAUGAGUCAGCAGUGUGAUGCGGCUGCCAAGAAAGCCAAUGCGAUUGUAUCAAUAGGAGUGUAGUGUCUAGAUCAAGGGAAGUGACACUACCACUUUGUUCUGCUUUAGUCAGACAUAACAUGGAGUAGUGUGUCCAGUUCUGGGCACCUCAGUUCAGAAGGAUGUUGACAACCUGGAACAUGUCCAGAGGAAGGCGACUAAAAUGGUUAAAAGUAGCAAUGUCCUACAAGGAGCAGCUUAGGGAGUUGGGAAUGUUUAGCCUUACAAAAAGAAGGUUGAGAGGGGACAUGAUAGCCAUGUUUAAAUAUUUGAAAGGAUGUCAUGAUGAAGAGGGGACAGCUUUGUUUCCCGGGGCUCCAGAGACUAGGACACGGAGCAAUGGUUUCAAACUACAGAAAAAGAGAUUCCAUCUAAACAUUAGGAAGAACUUCCUGAUGGUCAGAGCUGUCCAGCAGUGGAAUAGACUGCCUUGAAGGGUGGUGGAAUCGCCUUCUUUGGAAGUUUUUAAGCAUAGGCUGGGAGUACUGUUGGGAGUACUUUGAUGGAUGUUCCCGCAUGGCUUGAACUGGAUGGCCUCAGUGGCCUCUUCCAACUCUAUGACUCUAUGGGUAAUACCUCAUUGGACCACCAAAAUAUAUUUAGAUUUUGCUCAUGAAUCACACAGCUUUCUUUCCUCUCCUACCCCACUCUGUGACUAUGUACUUAUGGAAGGACAUGUGUAGGCACUAGAUCAGAGAGUAUGAUUUUUAAUAAGAUACAAGAAUAUUAUGAGUGACACUUCUGGGCCCACUAAACAUAAAUCUACAUACCAACCCACUGUAAAAUAUCGUGAACUAAAGCUCUUCAAAGGUUUCUAGAUGUUCUAAAUUUGAUGCCACAGUCCGUUGGAUUGAUGAGACAUUAGCUUAAAAAGUUUUUUUACUGCAUGGUUGAAAGAGGGUAAAUACUAUAAAGAAGACAAGGAAGAUGACAAGAGGCUUUGAGAUGAAUGGAAUCAAAAGUCAGCCAGUGAUACCUUAAAUGAUAUUACAACAAAAGAUAUUUACAAGUGUGCUUAAGUCUCCCUCUGAAAUUCAGUAUCAUAACUUUAAAAUUCUUUGGCUGGCCCAUGGUCAUAGAGGAUCUGGUAUCAUAAUUUUUGUUUUGAAUUUAUCAAUUAUAUACAGUAGUCAUAUAAUGAACCAUAUGUUGCCUUUGCAUCAGGAUUGUUAGACUAAGGUAUUUCUGCGCCAGAUCCAUAAUAUUCAGGUCACAAAAGUUUGAUUUUAUUCAAGUGGAUUGCUUCAUGAAGAAAUUUGGCAAGUUCAUUAAAAGCAUGAGUACAGAGUACAUAAAAUAAAUACUUCUAGUGUUUCUGGUACUGAGUAAGC